Long non-coding RNA from Scylla paramamosain (green mud crab), 371 nucleotides. RefSeq lists it as uncharacterized. The transcript is spliced from 3 exons. NCBI's taxonomy places the organism in Eukaryota, Metazoa, Arthropoda, Malacostraca, Decapoda, Portunidae. The record is from RefSeq and is a predicted model, not a curated record.
CUUCACCACAAUUGAAGGAAAGGAAAGGAACCACCACAAUCGCCACCACCACCACCACCACCACUACUACUACUACUACAACUACUACUACAAAAUGGUACCACCUCUAAAAGCGUUGAUCGUGGUGGGCGUGGUUACAGUGGUUACAGCGGCGCCCACACCUGAGUCCCCCCUAUUUAUGGCCCCCCCGUUCGCCCCCCCAAAAGCCACCAACCUGCACCUUAUAAGGAAGAACCGGCCAAACCGUACGCCUUCGACUACGGAGUGCGGGAUGCCCACUACGGCGCCAACUUCGGACACAAGGAGACCAGUGACGGCAACUCCAUAACCGGAUCGUACCAGGUAGCUCUUCCAGACGGCCGGGUGCAGAC